Molecule: long non-coding RNA, 4442 nt
Filed under: Nicotiana benthamiana
Lineage: Eukaryota; Viridiplantae; Streptophyta; Magnoliopsida; Solanales; Solanaceae
Description: long non-coding RNA (NBEN_LNC020909)
Source: RNAcentral
AACCCCUGAAUUUUAACAAUUUUGAUGAAUUUCCUUAACUUUACUCGAACCAACAAAAGCGUAAAGGUUUCAUAACAAAGAUCAUCCUUGUUCUGAAUGUGGCUAUUCGUAUUUAAGCAAAAUCCAUGUUCCACGGUUUAAUAGCCAUGUCUCAAUUAAGCAUUGAGAAAAGCCUCAAAUAUCCUCAAAUACAAUUGUAAAAACUUUAAGCCAACAUGUCGAAACUACAACUUUUCUUAAAUUCAAGUUUAUUAGCUGGCUCCUGUCUCAUAAGAAGUUUAGUCUCAAGGCGAACAACUGAAAAACCAAAAAACAAAUCCAAAACUGAGCGGGUGUCAAGUUUAAAAAUGCAUUUUAUCGCUCAAUUUAACACACACCAACUAUAACAACAACAACAAUCCAGUAUAAUCCCAUUUAAUGGGGUCCAGGGAGAGUAGUGUGUACGCAUAUCUUACCCCUACCCUUGGGUAAAGAGGCUGUUUCCAAAUAGACCUCUGGCAUCCUUCCCUCCAAGAACUUCUCACCUUCCUCUUGGGGAGACUCGAACUCACAACCUCUCGGUUGGAAGUGGAAUUGGAAGUGGGAGUUGCUUACCAUCAGAGCAACCCCUCUUGUCAUAGCACACACCAAUUAUGAGGUUGCAAAAUUAAACUUCAUCAACAGAGCCCAAAAGAAGAAGGGAAAAAACGAUGAGGAAAAUCAGCCAUGACAUUGCAAAAUUUAGAAGGUAAGGAGAAUCGAGAAAAAGCAUGAAAAUAAAUAAAGAUGUAGAGUAGACAAAAAAAAGAACAGAACCCAUGAAAUUUGAGUAAGCAUUGUACACUAUACCAAAAAAAAAUCAUUUUAAAUUAGGCUUAAUGCCCAUACCAGUACUAUCAACGGACAGAGAUUUGAGAAGCCAUUGAUCUCAACAACAAAAAACUCCAUGUGGGCUGAAACUAAUUGAAUGAGCAAAAGAAGGAGAAACAAAUGCAAAACUACAAAUUUGAAGUGGAAGAGGGUACAAAAGAAGUAUGAACAGAACACAUGAAACUUGAGUAAGCACUGUAACACUAUACCCAUAAUUUUCUUCCUUUUAAUUAGGUAUGAUACCCAUACCAGUAUCAUUAUUGAUCUCAACAAAAAAAUUACAUGUCGGGUGAAACUAAUUGGAAAAGCAGAAAAAGGAGAAACAAAUACAAAAUUACAAAACUGAAGUUGAAGAUUAAGGGAUUGUUUAAUAUAUCAUAUGCACAGCAUAAAUCAUGGGCAAAAUUGAUUAAAAUCGUAUUUGUAGGUAGAAGGAAUUUGAGGAAGAUGAAGAGAAUUGGAGAAGCAAUCGAGAAUUUGAAAGUUUUUUUUUUAUGCACAAAGAAAUCGGGUGAAAACCUAAUAUGCUCCCUAGAACACACGUGCACUCAUUCCACGUACAGUCGACGUGAAAUGACUUAACUACCCCCAAGCUUUUAUAAAAAAACUUUUAAGCACACAGGUCGAAACCACUAGCUUUUCUAAUAUAUAGUAAUAUAUUACCAAAGUUCUCAUCAAAUUUUUUAGUUUCCCAUUUGGUCGCAGAUAUUUAUUUUAGCAUCCACUUAAUUUAAAGUCGCAACAAAAUAUCCUACUUUAAGGGGUACAAUGCUCCAUACUUCGUAUAAUAUUUUUAUCAAUGAAAUUAUGAAGGGGAACUAUGGAGCAACAGUAAAGUUGUUUCUGUGUUAUAGAAUUUGAACCGUGAAAUCAGUCACUGAUAACUAUAUUAAGGGAAAAGCCAACCCACUUAUAUCGUGGCCCUUUCCGAUUCUAUGUGAACUCGAAAUGUUUCGUGUGCCAAGCCAUCAAUGGAACUUUGCAAGACCUACUUCUAGAAAAGGAAAAAGACGAGUAACACGUGGGUUACAUACGUACGUUUUUAUUUUACUUAUUUCUUUUACAAAUGGUGCAAAAAGAAAAGGAAAGGGAAGAAGUGAAAGAGAGGGGGAAUUGUGUUUGUUGACAGACCACCUACUUAAUGACAUCACUAAUCAAAUCAAAGUUUGGCUUUUUAGAUUUCUCUAACUAAUCUAAUCAAAGUUUGUUUUUGUAGGUUUCUCUAACUAAAGUUGUAGUUAGAAUUUAGAACCUAUCAAAUCAAUAACAUUAUUACUUUAAUAGACACGCCAAACAUAAGAAGACUUUUGUAAUCUUUAACUACAUCAUCGCUAUAGACAUAAUCCUAUUACUGUUCUUACAAUAUUUUAAUUCUAAUCUUUAACCACCACAGUCACUUUUUGAAGUUUUAACCAUCAUCCAUUCAAUGACCAAAUAACAAACCAAGUAUCUAUUUGCUAUAUUGUGCAGAUUUUCCGAAAAUAUCCCUAAUGCGUGUUAGAUUCUCCAAAAUAGUAUAUUUUGAAGGAUCCGAUAUGAGUGCGACAACAUUUUGGAGAGUUCGUGCACCAUAGUUUAUUAGUGACUUAUGGUGUAGGAUUUUUAAUUUCACCAAAGAUUUUCACCUCCUCCAAUGUAGGAAUUUUAAUUUCACCAAAGAUUUUCACCUCCUCCCACUGUUUUGGAGCAACGGUAAAGUUGUUUCCGCGUGACCUAUAAAUCAAAGGUUCAAGCCGUGGGAGCAGUCACUAAUGCUUGUCGUCUACAUCACACACUUUGAGAUGUAGCCCUUUCACAGAUUCUGCUUGAACGCGGAAUGCUUUAUGCAUCAGGCUGUCCAUUUUGACCUCCUCCCACUAUUCAUGAGUACAUCCCCAAUAAAAAACGACAACCCAGUGCAUUAAGCUCCCGCUACGCCAGGGGUCUGUGGAAGGGCCGGCUACAAGGGUCUAUAGUACGUAUUCUUACCCUGCAUUUCUGCAAGAGAAUGUUUCCACGACUCGAACCCAUAACCUCUUAGUCACUUGGCAGCAACUUUACCAGUUACGCCAAGGUUCUCUUUCGGUACAUCCCCAAUAAAAGAACAAAAAAAGUACUACUUCUAUAGUAAGCUUCUAGUCCUAAUCAUACAUACCCUUGCUGCAAUGAGGAAUGAAUCAGAUAUGCUAUCUUUCUAACCUUCAAGUUUUAUCAAUUCUUGAAAAGAAUCUUAAAAGUUUCCUUUUCUGUUAAACAGAGAUGUUUUCACUAGUUUUGGGCGCAUCUAACAUUAGAGUAUAACGAGUAUAAUGAGUUUUUAUACCAUCAUGUCAUCAAAAGGAUAUCUACAGGUAAACCUUCUUAAAAUAUUGAAUUUGUAAAUUAAACUGACAAUGCAUAUCGCUUAAACUCUUAACUCGAAGAGCACAUAUUUCCUUUAGUAAGUGUGAGACAAAGAUAGGUGGUAAUAUAAUCAUAACAACAAACUUCAGUUUGUUGGAUAUAACAUCUUUGAAUGUUAAGUAAAAACCAUAAUAUUGAUAUUUCCUUGAAAAUAAAAGAUAUAACUAACUCAAAGAAUUAUUUGCGCUAUUUCUGCUGGAGUUACUAAUGCUCUUUUGUUUUUGUUUUUCCUUUCCUUAGUACUCCAGAGAGGCUUACGGUAUAUUUCUCAAUUCUUCAAUUUAACUAGUUGCUUUUUAAAUGACAUUGCACAGAGUAUAUCAAUAAAUUUAUUAAAGGGUGUCUUCGAUCCACUAGUUGCUUUUGACCUGUGUUUUGGAUUGUGUCUUUCUUAUGGUAGUUAUUUAUGGUAGUUAAUGUAUGAUAUUAUUGCAUGCUAUUUUAUUUAUUUAUUUAUGGUUCUUAUGUUUAGAUAACUAUUUACGCCAUUUCUGCUGGACUUACUAAUGCCCUUUUGUUUUUAUUUUUGUUUUUGUUUUUCCCUUUCCUUCACUGGGCCGAGGGUCGAUUGGAAACAGCCUCCCUGCCCUUUUGGGUAGGGGUAAAGCUCGUCUACAUAUUACCCUCCCCAGACCCCAUUUUGUGGGACUAUACUGGGUAGUAGUUGUUGUUGUUGUUGUAACUCAAAGAAAAAGACUUAAAAUGUAAGCAUUAUUCAUGAAAAUUUAUGCUGUUAGAGAUAGGCUAAGUGGUUGAACCAACACCUUCUACAGGGUGUUGAACUAAGUUUUUGAAAACAUAAUGUGGUCAAACUAAGAUUACUUAAUUCUCUCUUCUUUUCUCCCUAUAAAACCAUAGCCUCAACUCUACUAUCUUUCACAAACAAGCAUUGAAUUGCAUCUACUAAUACUCAAAAAAGAGUUUUAAGGAAAGGAAAAAAAAAUGAAGGCUUUUAAUAGUAUUGCUAACCCUUUGAGUUCUUUCUUCUUUCUAUGCAUUUUGCUUCUCUUGGCAAAUGCAGCAUCUGCAAAAAUUCACAACCAUAAUUUUGUUGUAAGCUAUCCAAGAUUUCCCUUCGUUAUUUGCUAAGGUGUCGUAAGUUUUACAAACGCUUAUGAUACUGACCUCUGUUUUAUUGUAACAGAUUCAAGCAACACCAGUGAAGAGGCUGUGCAAAACUCAUAACACCAUAACGGUGAACGGACAAUUCC